Non-coding RNA from Oncorhynchus mykiss (rainbow trout), 2165 nucleotides. The record is from RefSeq and is a predicted model, not a curated record. NCBI's taxonomy places the organism in Eukaryota, Metazoa, Chordata, Actinopteri, Salmoniformes, Salmonidae.
GGACCUCUACAGUUGCCAUAGCCAAACGUCACUUUGGAGCGAAAGAUUUUAAACGGCUCCUUUGAGAAAGACUUGAGGGCCGAAAUGUUGUCGUUUCUCUCAUAACAGGGUACAAUUUAGCCAGCUGUUUUUAAAUAGAGCGUUUUGUGGACUGUUCACAGUCCCUGGUCUAAAGAUGAAAGGCUUGGAAAUGUCCGCUAUGAUACCUGCACUGCAGGAGCUAGCGAGUGUGUGAAGGGGUUUCUUUACACUGCCCUGAAGGCUGAGGUUGCCGUGGUGAUGCAAGAGAGGGAGGAUGGAGAAACGCCUGCUAAGCGACCCUGUCUACCCAUCACCCCCCUGGCCAGCAAGACCCCCGAAACUACCAGAUUGAGGUGUGAGCGGCAGGCUGAAUGACCUUCUGGCCUCUCUGGUGAACUGUGACCUUGACCCGACGACCCCUGAGCCUGACGAAGACCCUGAGAGCUCUGGAGGGACUCGCUCUGGAUGGUGGAUGGUAACAGUAGUACUCUCAGUAUGGGGUCCAUUUCUCUCGCUCUGUAUUCCAGGUGGAUGGUAACAGUAGUACUCUCAGUAUGGGGUCCAUUUCAAGCAGUUGAAGCGCCUAGUGGAGUAGCCGUCAUUCAGCCAGAUCCUGAUCCCUCUGCAGUCUGUCCUCAUCCCCACACUGCCCUCUACUGGCCCUGCAAACACACUGCACCACAACGCAUUCCCCGGACACUGGGCCUGCCUCCAUGGCUUUGACGAUACUGUGUGUGUGGGGGGGAGAGGUGGAGAUCCUAGCCUCCCUCCAGGAGCCCAAGAAGAUCGGCCUGAAGGGAAGUGAUGGGAGGAGCUACACUGUGAUGUGUAAACCUAAAGAUGACCUCCGGAAAGACUGUCGCCUCAUGGAGUUCAACUGCCUCAUCAACAAGUGCCUGCGUAAGGAUGCAGAGUCCAGGAGGAGGGCGCUCCAUAUCCGUACAUAUGGUGUGAUCCCACUGAAUGAGGAGUGUGGCAUCAUCGAGUGGGUCAACAACACUGGAGGUCUCCGACACACUCUGACCACACCCUACUAAGAGAGAGGUAUCCUGAUGUCAGGUAAAGAGUUGAGGACGUUCAUUCUUCCUCAGACUGCAUCAUUUGAGGAGAAGCUGAAAGUCCAUAAGGACCUCCUGUGUGCCAGACACCCCCCUGUCUUCUAUGAAUGGUUCCUCCAAACCUUCCCUGACCCCACCACAUGUGUGUGUGUGUGUGUAAUGUGGGUACAGCAGCAGGUCAGCCUACUGUCGCUCCACAGCGGUGAUGUCCGUGGUGGGCUACAUCCUGGGUCUUGGAGACCGCCAUGGAGAGAACAUCCUGUUUGACUCAUUCACGUGUUCACGUCGACUUCAACUGCCUCUUCAACAAGGGUGAGACGUUUGAUGUUCCGGAAGUGGUUCCGUUCAGACUGACCCAGAACAUGGUCCAUGCUAUGGGCCCUAUGGGGACAGAGGGGCUGUUCAGAACCGCCUGUGAAGUCGUGCUACGCCUGGUGAGAGACCAGCGAACCACUCAUGAGAGUGGAGUAAACCCAAAGGACGAUCCAAGACACAGGCCAGUGAGACUGGAGAGAGAGUCAACGAGAAGGCCAAGACCCAUGUGUGUGAGAUUGAUCAGCGUUUGCAGGGCGUGAUAAAGAGUCGUAACAAGGUGUUGGGUCUUCCUCUGUCUAUAGAGGGACACGUCCACUACCUCAUAGAGGAGGCUACCGACGACAAACUACUGUGUCAGAUGUACCUGGGCUGGGGACCUUACCUGUGAUACACACAGCUUCUCUGAGACACUGUUUAUGAUGUUCAAUAUUUGACUUGUUCUGUUAUCAAUGAAAUUCUCUUCCUUUUUCAUAUUUUUGUAAAUCUGGAGUAAUUGUUAUGUUUUUCAUGGGGCAGUUGCAAAUUUUUACCGUACUAAAAAAAAAAGUAUUUAAAUGUGUGUGUGUGUGUGUGUGUGUGUGUGUGUGUGUGUGUAAUCUAAUUACAGCUGCAAUCUCUUGGGGUAUGUCUCUAUAAACCUGACACAUCAAGCCACUGGGAUUUUGGCCCAUUCAAGGCAAAACUGCUCCAGCUCCUUCAAGUUGGAUGGGUUCCGAUGGUGUACAGCAAUCUAUAAAUCAUACCAUAGAUUGUCAAUUGGAUUGAGGUCUG